RNAcentral lists this ribosomal RNA (237 nucleotides) under uncultured organism. RNAcentral describes it as "partial 16S ribosomal RNA". It matches the Rfam family "Archaeal small subunit ribosomal RNA", at positions 443 to 679 of the family's 1478-position model. The record is from RNAcentral.
CGGGCAAGACCGGUGCCAGCCGCCGCGGUAACACCGGCGGCUCGAGUGGUGACCGUUAUUAUUGGGUCUAAAGGGUCCGUAGCUGGCUUAAUAAGUUCCUUGGGAAAUCUGGCGGCUNAACCGUCAGGCUGCUGAGGAAUACUAUUAGGCUCGAGACCGGGAGGGGCUANAGGUACUUCNGGGGUAGGAGUGAAAUCCUGUAAUCCUUGAGAGACCACCNNUGNCNAAGGCGUCUAG